Molecule: ribosomal RNA, 348 nt
Filed under: uncultured bacterium
Lineage: Bacteria
Description: partial 16S ribosomal RNA
Rfam family: Bacterial small subunit ribosomal RNA
Source: RNAcentral
CCUACGGGUGGCAGCAGUGGGGAAUAUUGCACAAUGGGGGAAACCCUGAUGCAGCGACGCCGUGUGAGUGAAGAAGUAUUUCGGUAUGUAAAGCUCUAGCAGCAGGGAAGAAAAUGACGGUACCUGAAGAAGAAGCCCCGGCUAACUACGUGCCAGCAGCCGCGGUAAUACGUAGGGGGCAAGCGUUAUCCGGAUUUACUGGGUGUAAAGGGAGCGGAGACGGCAGCACAAGUCUGGAGUGAAAUGCCGGGGCUUACCCCCGGAACUGCUUUGGAAACGGUGCAGCUCGAGUGCAGGAGAGGUCAGUGGACUUCCUAGUGUAGCGGUGCAAUGCGUAGAUCUUAGGAG